AAGAAGUCAGGCCACUACAAGUGCCAUAGCUUGAGCAAACUAUGCAGCCUGUAGCUCCACCUGGGAAGGUGUAAAAAAUCUGGGAGGCCACAAACCAUGGAAGCUGUACGCAUGGCGUAGUGGACUAGCGGUUAGAGGAGACCCCUCCCUUGCAAGUCGCAGCAACAAUGGGGGCCCAAGGUGAGAUGAAGCUGUAAUCCCACUGGAAGGACUAGAGGUUAGAGGAGACCCCCCCGAAAUAAAAAACAGCAUAUUGACGCUGGGAAAGACCAGAGAUCCUGCUGUCUCCUCAGCAU
This 296-nucleotide long non-coding RNA is filed under the name dengue virus type 2. RNAcentral describes it as "Dengue virus type 2 partial sfRNA2". The stretch from base 170 to 241 matches the Rfam family "Flavivirus DB element". Lineage: Riboviria; Orthornavirae; Kitrinoviricota; Flasuviricetes; Amarillovirales; Flaviviridae. The record is from RNAcentral.